UGCAACAAAUUGAAUUGAUAAGCAUUUUAUAUAAAACACUAGUCGCGAAGACAGUAUUCUAGCAGUUACUUUCUUGCGAUUGUUGGAAAAGACAUUUGAAGAAUAAUAAAACCAAUUUUGGAAAUGAGAAUGGAUUUUGCUUGGAGUUACCUCUUGGUUGCACUUAUGGUUGUCAGCUGCUCCGCUCUUCCGCAACUUGACAGAAAUAUGGGCAAUCCCGGGGAGGCGCCAUUGCCAACUCCCGUCGGAACAUGUCCAGAAUAUAGUUACAAUACAGUAUUCCUGUCUGACGCAUAUUACUGUGGAUAUUACCAUCAAUGCUCCAAUGGUGUUCCGAUUCGUAUGAAAUGCCCUAGCGGAUUACACUGGACUGUUACACUGGACACCGACAGCUAUUAUUUUCCAACGUGCGAUCUUCCAAGCCAAUCCAAUUCCAACUGUCGCAAGGACACACCCUUUUAAACAAAAGAUUCAAAUAGUCUAGUCUGAGAUAGUGUCAAACGGAAAUUUGUUUUUUAAUGAUUUGAAAACAUUUAGAUAGAAAUAGAAUCUAGAAGUCUAUUCCAUAUUUCAGCGGUAAUUGAUCUGUCAAUCUCUGCCCAAUAAUAUGUACCUUUAAUCAUUAGAAUUUUCUUGCUUAUCACACAAAUACACAUAUACUUCAGCAAUCUAACAA
RNAcentral lists this long non-coding RNA (676 nucleotides) under Daphnia pulicaria. RNAcentral describes it as "uncharacterized LOC124328964". Lineage: Eukaryota; Metazoa; Arthropoda; Branchiopoda; Diplostraca; Daphniidae. The record is from RNAcentral.